GAUUUAUAUUCAGAAAAUUUAUUUACUUUCAUAUUAUUAACAAAAAUCACUGUUGUGUUCCAAUCUUUGUUCUCUGAGGAUAAAUCGUCAGCGAAUCACUUCCGGCCGCUGCAAAUCACUUCCGGCCGCUGCAAAUCACUUCCGGCCGCUCUGUACCUCAGAGCCCAGGCAGCCUAGAGCUGACCGGUGGUCAUCAGGAAAGCAGAUGGUCUGGGAAGCCAUGCAAUUUCAUGCGUUGUCUAAUAAAACCGGAAUUGCUGACUCUGGUGAGCA
This 273-nucleotide long non-coding RNA is filed under the name Mus musculus (house mouse). RNAcentral's name for it is "predicted gene, 34961". Lineage: Eukaryota; Metazoa; Chordata; Mammalia; Rodentia; Muridae. The record is from RNAcentral.